UGUCAAUCAAUAGCUCAGUCAGUAGAGCAUAAGACUCAUAAUCGCAGUGUCGUGGGUUUGAGCCCCACAUUGGCCA
Non-coding RNA from Podarcis lilfordi (Lilford's wall lizard), 76 nucleotides. NCBI's taxonomy places the organism in Eukaryota, Metazoa, Chordata, Lepidosauria, Squamata, Lacertidae. The record is from the annotation of a GenBank genome assembly.